GCCAUUUCCGUAGAGAGGAACGGCGGAGCGGCCUGUGUCCAUGGCGCUGUUCCCAGCCUUUGCGGGCGUUAGUGAGGCCCCCGAUGGUGGGGGUUCCAGGAAAGAAUUAGACUGGCUGAGUAACCCAAGUUUUUGUGUCGGAACUGUAACUACCCUGAGCCAACAAACUGAAGAGGCCACAGCUCUUGUUUCUGAAGGGUCAUCACCAACAAGGAGUCCUCUGAAAUCAGAGCCUUCAGAUGAAAGUGAUGCUAGCAGAAAGCUCACACAAAUAAUCAGGAGAAAGAAGAAGGAAAAAAAGAAAAAAAGGAAGCAUCAGCACCACAAGAAAACCAAGAGGAAGCACCGGCAGUCGAGCAGCAGCGAGUCUGAGCCAGAUUCUGAUUCAGGAAAGGACAGAUCUUCCAGGAGCAUCAGAAGCAGCCAGAAGCAAGCUGAGCAACCCAAUCAAGGAAAUAAUACUGCUGCUGAUGCUGGACUUCGCUCUGUCUGGCUUGAGGACAUUCAGUCUCUGACAGGAGAAACCUUCAGAACAGAUAAGAAACCCGAUCCUGCAAACUGGGAGUAUAAGUCUCUCUACCGAGGGGAUAUUGCAAGAUACAAGAGGAAAGGAGACUCCUGCCUGGGCAUUAACCCGAAGAAGCAGUGCAUAUCUUGGGAAGGGGCUUCCUCAACAAAGAAGCGUGCGCACAGGCACGUUGAACGCUAUUUUACGAAGAAGAGCGUGGGGUUGAUGAGCGUUGAUGGCGUUUCUGUUAGCAGUAGAACUGAUCCUCCUUCUGCAGAGCCGGUCUUGUUUAUCCCCGUGAAGGACUUGGAUGAUAUGGCUUCUCCUGUUACAACCUGGUUGAAUCCUUUGGGGAUUUAUGAUCGGUCAACCACACAGUGGUUACAAGGACAGGGUCCUUCAGAAGCAGAAUCAAAGCAGCCAGACUCACAGCUGGACAGAGAGAAUGCUCUUCUCAAGGCAAAGGUGGAGGAGUUUAAUAGGAAGGUUCGGGAGAACCCUCGGGAUAUUCAGCUGUGGAUGGCAUUUGUUGCUUUUCAGGAUGAGGUCAUGAGGAGUCCUGGCCUGUAUGCUAUGGAGGAAGGAGAACAGGAGAAGAGAAAGAAGUCCCUGAAGCUCAUCCUGGAGAAGAAGCUGGCCAUCUUGGAGCGGGCCAUUGAGAGCAACCAGAGCAGCAUCGAUCUCAAGCUCGCCAAGCUGAAGCUCUGUGCGGAGUUCUGGGAGCCUGCUGCGCUGGUCAAAGAGUGGCAGAAACUGGUCUUUUUACAUCCCAAUAACACGGUCCUUUGGCAGAAAUACCUUUUGUUUUGUCAGAGCCAGUUUAGCACUUUUUCAAUAUCAAAAAUUCACAGUCUUUAUGGAAAGUGCUUGAGCACUCUGUCUGCUGUUAAGGAUGGCAGCAUCUUAUCUCACCCUGCGCUGCCUGGCAUAGAAGAGGCCAUGUUUGCACUCCUUCUUCAGCAGUGCCACUUUCUGCGGCAGGCUGGCCACUCAGAGAAGGCCGUGUCUUUGUUCCAGGCCAUGGUUGACUUCACUUUCUUCAAACCUGACAGUGUGAAAGAUCUGCCUACCAAAUUACAGGUGGAAUUCUUUGAGCCCUUCUGGGACAGUGGAGAGCCACGGCCUGGGGAGAAAGGAGCGAGAGGCUGGCGAGCGUGGAUGCACCAGCAGGAGCGGGGUGGCUGGGUGGUCAUCAAUCCAGAUGAGGAUGAUGACGAGCCAGAAGAGGAUGACCAGGAGAUAAAAGAGAAGACUCUGCCCAGGUGGCAGAUCUGGCUUGCUGCUGAGCGUUCCCGAGAUCAAAGGCACUGGCGGCCCUGGCGCCCUGAUAAGACCAAGAAACAAACUGAGGAAGACUGUGAGGAUCCCGAGAGACAGGUGUUGUUUGAUGAUAUUGGACAAUCUCUGAUCAGGCUUUCCAGCCAAGAGCUUCAGUUCCAGUUGAUCGAGGCCUUUCUGCAGUUCUUGGGUGUGCCUUCUGGCUUUGUCCCUCCAGCCUCCUGCCUGUACCUGGCCAUGGAUGAGAGCAGCAUCUUUGAUAGUGGACUCUGUGAUGAAAAGCCCUUGACUUUUUUCAACCUUUCAUUUUCUGGCAUUAGCUGUGUUGGCUGCAUGGACCGGUUGGGCUCUCUCCGCUGGACCAGGGGUCACAAUCGAGAGGGCGAGGAGUUCAUUCGCAAUGUCUUCCACCUUGUGAUGCCUUUGUUUUCGGGCAAGCAAAAGUCUCAGCUCUGCUUCUCCUGGUUACGGUACGAGAUUGCAAAGGUCAUUUGGUGUCUGCACACUAAAAACAAGAAGAGAUUAAAGUCACAGGGGAAGAACUGCAAAAAAUUAGCCAAGAAUCUCCUUAAAGAGCCAGAAAACCGUAAUAAUUUUUGCCUCUGGAAGCAGUACGCACAUCUGGAGUGGUUGCUUGGCAACAUAGAGGAUGCCCGAAAAGUUUUUGAUACAGCCCUCAGUAUGGUGGGCAGCAGCGAGCUGAAGGACCGUGAACUUUGUGAACUCAGUCUCCUCUAUGCUGAGCUGGAGGUGGAGCUGUCACUGGACUUGUCAGGGGCCACCACGGCCCGAGCUGUUCACAUACUAACCCGACUGACAGAGAGCAGUCCCUACGGGCCCUUCACUGGGCAGGUCUUACCCACUAAUGUUUUGAAAGCUCGAAAGGCUUACGAGCAUGCGCUACAAGACUGUUUGGGUAAGAGCUGUGUCUCUGAUCCAACUCCUGCUGACUCCUUGAACUGCCUGAGUAGCUUGGUCAAAUGCUUUAUGCUGUUCCAGUAUUUGACCGUAGGGAUUGAUGCUGCCGUGCAGAUAUAUGAACAGCUAUUUGCCAAACUGAAGGGUUCUGUUUUCUCAGAAGGCUCUGGCAUGGAGGACGGUGCCAGCUCCCAGAAUCUGACCAGUGUUCUUGAAGCCAUCACGCUGAUGCACACAAGUCUGCUGAGGUUCCACAUGAAAGUUAAUGUUUACCCUUUGACUCCGCUACGAGAGGCGCUCUCGGAGGCUUUGAGGCUGUAUCCCGGCAACCAGGUUCUUUGGAGGUCAUAUGUUCAGAUUCAGAAUAAGUCUCACAGUGCUAGCAAGACCAGAAAAUUCUUUGAUGCAAUGACCAGGUCUGCCAAACCCAUGGAGCCGUGGUUAUUUGCAAUUGAAGCUGAGAAAAUGAGGAAAAGACUGGUAGAAACUGUUCAGAGGGUGGGAGGUAGAGAGAUCCACGCCACCAUCCCAGAGACCGGCUUAACACAUCGGAUCAGAGCCCUGUUUGAGAACGCAGUGCGGAGUGACCACGGCAGCCAGUGCCCCUUACUGUGGAGGAUGUAUUUGAAUUUUUUGGGAGAGGAGAACUGUGGUGCCCCGCUCACGGCUGACACGGGAGCUGCUCCAGGGAGGCUGGCCUCCAUGUUCCUUACGUGUGCGCGACUCGGCUCUGGGGGCUGAGGGUGAAGGAAGGGGGCGCCUCUGUGUGAGCCCUGUCCUGCCCCUCUGAAGACUCAUUGGCAGGAUCAGGAUGUGCACAGAGAUGGUAAAGUGUGACCAUUUGCCCACUGCAUAGGAUGCCAGUCGCUGAAACAAAUUUUCAAAAGAGUUAUUCACAAGGCAGCUGAGUUGGAGUAGGAGGCCACACAUCUCCCUGCCUGAGGGUAGGUGUGUUGGAUAUUUAUGGGGUAAAGAAGCAGGGUGAUCUGUGGUGUGGGGAGAAUGAUUGGAAGAUGAAGUAAUCUGUGUUUCAUGCACAUGUAAUGAAACUUCAUGGCUCUUUAUGAGACACAUGUACAGAAAACAGAGGUGCACGAUCUGAAGAAGGUAGAGAUUUUGGCCCUCUGAUGGCAAAAGGUCUUCACUGGACACCUGCGCAGGCCCAAAUGAAGAGUUGGUGGUUUCAACAAAUUUGCCAAGUCCCUGAAAAGUAACCUAGGCAGCUGUUACAAUCAUGACCCACGCGUCAGAGGUGUCAUCUGUAGCUCAGCUUGUGAGAGACUAAGAAUAUAUAGCUCAGCUCCGUGACCUCCAGAAUUAGUGAUCUGUAAAGCCAGUAAAAAUCAGGUAACUAAAGUGGGAAAGGGGCUUCAGAGAGAAGUACAAAGCGUCGGUUCACAUAUACGAGGCUAGGCCAGCCACGUUUGUUAAUUAUCAGAGUUAAGAUUCCAGUCUUCAUGGAGUCUUGGAGACUGAGGUGAGGGUUACCUUCCCAACAGUGGCUCUCAGUUUCUUGGGAGAUGCUUCUGACUGGCAAAAGGUAGAUAUUUAUAACUGGGAUCCUCUCUUUUAGUAAAUGCCCGGCAGAUGGUUGGCCCCGGUGAGCAAGAGCAGCUCUCUUCCUUCAUCAGCUCUGUCUUCUUUGGUUCCAUGCAGAGACUCAGUUGGUGCCCUCAGGUGCUCCUGGCUUGCCUGAGGACACACAUUUACCCAGUCAUAAUACCGUGGGGGUGACAGGAGUGUCACAGAAACUCCAGAAAAGAGUGUAUCACCCCCCCAGUUAUGUUUCAUUCCUGAAGGAAUCUUACAAGGAGUCUUGGGUGUUAAGAUGACAUUUAGAUGGUGAUAGAGGGACCAGGAGAGCUGGUAGUGGCCAUGGACUCUUCUCUCACUUGAGGCUUGCUCUACCCACAGGUGAAGGCAUGUCCAAGGCCGUGUCUUAGAAUACAAAAUCAUGGGUAGAAAACACAUGGUCACCACUGAGUUCUCACCUGGCAUCAAGCUCUUCCACCCCUGAUGCAGAAAAGGACAGUGUUUUCCUGUGGCCUGUUGAUGAAGGAAAUGCCACUGAAAAGAGUAUAGUGGUUUAUUGGGCUCCAGGAUUCUGCACUUGGUAGAAGACAUAGUAAUAUAGUUUUUCUUAUUCUUUCAAAAAGGAAGAAAAGGUUCAGUUUAGUCAGGAGUUAGGAGAGGACAUUGACGCAUACUGACGUGGGAAGGAGCACACCGGCUGCUUAGUUGUGAAUUGAGUGGCCCAGCCUCAGAACUGGAGGCAUUCAGUAGAAAGGACACAUGGGAGUCUCCUGAGCCCUUGUGGCUGGCUCUUGGAGACGUUGAGCCUUGCCCAAAGCAGGGUUCUCAUAGAUGUUGUUACAGUCCAAGCUGUAGUCCCUUGUGACCGUGGGAGUGAACCUUCAAGAUUGAAAAAUGGAGUUCCCGAGCAGCAGUUUGGAUCUCUGGAUGCUGCAGUCCAGGUUUCCAGGAGCCCAGUCAUUAGCUCUUCCUUCUCUGCUGGCUGCAGCAUGCUGGCUGUGUGGCUAGGGAGAGCCAGUGUCCACUAGAACACGAUCCUGAGGGAGCAGGCUGGGUGGACAAGCACAGAGACAGACUUGAGCUCCCGGGGCUCUGCUCACGCCAGCCAGCAGGUACUGUCCUGGGUAGCUGGCUUCCCAGGAAGGUCAGGAGAGGUCCCCAGCAAUGGCUCCUUCCACACUGGGCUGGGAACACAGUGGUGGCUGACUUUGAGAUGAAGGUUUUAGAUCUAGAGAGAAGGCCGGCUGAGAACCUGCACACACUCAGACUGAAAUUUCUGAUGGAAAAAUUUAAUAAGGUGAAAUCUGGCAAAUGGGGUAAGCUAUUGGAGAAAUGAGAUAGUCCUGAUUAUUUCAUUUCUCUAAAAGACAGCUUUCAUCCAGUGGCACGUUCUAAAGCAAAGGUUUUUUUCAUUUGCACAACUUAUCAAGUUCACCAGCUUCAUCUUGCAGAUGCAGAAUGAGGCAGGUGGUUCCCAGUACAGGAGGGGGAACAGGAUUGCUAAUAAAAGUGCUCAGCAUCAACAUGGGGCCAUUUGAAGAGGGAAAUGUCUACCACAUAGCAGGGGCCUAGAGAGCAUCUUCUGGUAUCUGGGCGCAUUCCGUUCAGCCACCGUGAUGGUACCGGGCCAUCCACAGAGCCUGCCUACGCAGCUGGGGCUGUAUGCCAUGCUUCCUUAGGAAACAAAGACAGAAGCAAAGGUGUGUUCUACAAAGCACUUCAGAAUUGUCCCUGGGCA
RNA transcript from Marmota flaviventris (yellow-bellied marmot), 5975 nucleotides. It is a transcript of the gene named NRDE-2, necessary for RNA interference, domain containing, with no coding region annotated. NCBI's taxonomy places the organism in Eukaryota, Metazoa, Chordata, Mammalia, Rodentia, Sciuridae. The record is from RefSeq and is a predicted model, not a curated record.